UUCUUGAAGAAAUCUUAAUUAAUAGACUAAGACAAGCUAUAAAAUAGCAUUCUCAGGAACAAACACAAGAUGAUUUAUACAUUUCUAAAGCAUUGAUACGCCAUCAUAGUCAAGUUACAAGCUAAAACGUGAUGAAGCUUGUUAUACAUUCUUGCUACGCACAAACUUCAGGGAAGAGUUUCAUGCAAAAGUAGUGCCACAAAACAAAACAAAGUUGUCAAAAGCAUCAUGAAGUUCUUGUAACCAAUGCUACAAAAUAAAACUAAAUUUUUCACAAGUGGCUGUU
RNAcentral lists this long non-coding RNA (286 nucleotides) under Olea europaea (common olive). Its description in RNAcentral is "long non-coding RNA (OEUR_LNC008775)". The record is from RNAcentral. Lineage: Eukaryota; Viridiplantae; Streptophyta; Magnoliopsida; Lamiales; Oleaceae.